This 73-nucleotide transfer RNA is filed under the name Leucosyrinx sp. MNHN IM 2013-19304. Its description in RNAcentral is "tRNA-Lys". Lineage: Eukaryota; Metazoa; Mollusca; Gastropoda; Neogastropoda; Turridae. The record is from RNAcentral.
UCUUAGGUGACUGAGUAUAUAAGUAUUAGACUUUUAAUCUAAAAACGGCAGAAUGUUGAUAUGCCCCUAAGAG